This 382-nucleotide ribosomal RNA is filed under the name uncultured organism. RNAcentral's name for it is "bacterial SSU rRNA". It matches the Rfam family "Bacterial small subunit ribosomal RNA", at positions 367 to 762 of the family's 1533-position model. The record is from RNAcentral.
CGCAAUGGGCGAAAGCCUGACGGAGCGACGCCGCGUGAGUGAUGAAGUCCUUCGGGACGUAAAACUCUUUUAUGGGGGAGAAAUUUAGAUGAUAGUACCCCAAGAAUAAGAGGCUCCAAACUCUGUGCCAGCAGGAGCGGUAAUACAGAGGCCUCAAGCGUUAUCCGGAAUCACUGGGCGUAAAGGGUGUGUAGGCGGUCUUGCUAGUCUCUCGUUAAAGCCCGCGGCCUAACUGCGGAAAUGCGGGAGAAACGGCAAAACUAGAGGAUGCGAGGGGUGAAUGGAACUCAUGGAGUAGGGGUGAAAUCCGUUGAUAUCAUGGGGAACACCAAAAGCGAAGGCAAUUCACUGGCGCACUCCUGACACUGAAACACGAAAGCGU